AUUGAACGCUGGCGGCAGGCCUAACACAUGCAAGUCGGACGGUAGCACAGAGGAGCUUGCUCCUCGGGUGACGAGUGGCGGACGGGUGAGUAAUGUCUGGGGAUCUGCCCGAUAGAGGGGGAUAACCACUGGAAACGGUGGCUAAUACCGCAUAACGUCGCAAGACCAAAGAGGGGGACCUUCGGGCCUCUCACUAUCGGAUGAACGCAGAUGGGAUUAGCUAGUAGGCGGGGUAACGGCCCACCUAGGCGACGAUCCCUAGCUGGUCUGAGAGGAUGACCAGCCAAACUGGAACUGAGACACGGUCCAGACUCCUACGGGAGGCAGCAGUGGGGAAUAUUGCACAAUGGGCGCAAGCUUGAUGCAGCCAUGCCGCGUGUAUGAAGAAGGCCUUCGGGUUGUAAAGUACUUUCAGCGGGGAGGAAGGCGAUAAGGUUAAUAACCUUGUCGAUUGACGUUACCCGCAGAAGAAGCACCGGCUAACUCCGUGCCAGCCGCCGCCGUAA
This 506-nucleotide ribosomal RNA is filed under the name uncultured bacterium. RNAcentral's name for it is "partial 16S ribosomal RNA". It matches the Rfam family "Bacterial small subunit ribosomal RNA", at positions 29 to 523 of the family's 1533-position model. The record is from RNAcentral.